This 26-nucleotide non-coding RNA is filed under the name Rattus norvegicus (Norway rat). The record is from RNAcentral. Lineage: Eukaryota; Metazoa; Chordata; Mammalia; Rodentia; Muridae.
CUUCAUUUGAAACGAAAGCAUUGCCU